This is a long non-coding RNA of Limulus polyphemus (Atlantic horseshoe crab), 102 nucleotides long. RefSeq lists it as uncharacterized. Lineage: Eukaryota; Metazoa; Arthropoda; Merostomata; Xiphosura; Limulidae. The record is from RefSeq and is a predicted model, not a curated record. The transcript has 2 exons.
CUACCUUUUGCAUGUUAUUAGUCUUUAUUCUUUGGUGCAAUACUAUCUAUAGUAUAAAGAAUUAAGCUUAACUCUCUUUGAAAACCCUAGAGCAAGAAAAAA